Molecule: transfer RNA, 89 nt
Filed under: Clostridia bacterium
Lineage: Bacteria; Bacillati; Bacillota; Clostridia
Description: tRNA-Leu
Rfam family: tRNA
About the family: Transfer RNA (tRNA) molecules are approximately 80 nucleotides in length. Their secondary structure includes four short double-helical elements and three loops (D, anti-codon, and T loops).
Source: RNAcentral
GCCGGAGUGGCGAAAUUGGCAGACGCCCGGGACUUAAAAUCCCGUGGGACCCUAAUCCCGUACCGGUUCGAGCCCGGUUUCCGGCACCA